UAUACGACUCUCGGCAACGGAUAUCUCGGCUCUCGCAUCGAUGAAAAACGUAGCGAAAUGCGAUACUUGGUGUGAAUUGCAGAAUCCCGUGAACCAUCGAGUCUUUGAACGCAAGUUGCGCCCGAGGCCUUUUGGUUGAGGGCACGCCUGCCUGGGCGUCACGC
Molecule: ribosomal RNA, 164 nt
Filed under: Lilium davidii var. davidii
Lineage: Eukaryota; Viridiplantae; Streptophyta; Magnoliopsida; Liliales; Liliaceae
Description: 5.8S ribosomal RNA
Rfam family: 5.8S ribosomal RNA
About the family: 5.8S ribosomal RNA (5.8S rRNA) is a component of the large subunit of the eukaryotic ribosome. It is transcribed by RNA polymerase I as part of the 45S precursor that also contains 18S and 28S rRNA. Functionally, it is thought that 5.8S rRNA may be involved in ribosome translocation.
Source: RNAcentral